RNAcentral lists this ribosomal RNA (442 nucleotides) under uncultured bacterium. RNAcentral describes it as "partial 16S ribosomal RNA". It matches the Rfam family "Bacterial small subunit ribosomal RNA", at positions 338 to 795 of the family's 1533-position model. The record is from RNAcentral.
CCUACGGGGGGCAGCAGUAGGGAAUCUUUCACAAUGGGCGAAAGCCUGAUGGAGCAACGCCGCGUGCAGGAUGAAGGCCUUCGGGUUGUAAACUGCUUUUAUAAGCGAGAAAUAUGAUGGUUACUUAUGAAUAAGGAUCGGCCAACUACGUGCCAGCAGCCGCGGUCAUACAUAGGAGCCGAGCAUUAUCCGGAGUGACUGGGUGUAAAGAGUUGCGUAGGUGGCAUAAUAAGUAGCUGGUGAAAUCUGGUGGGUCAACAAUUCAGACUAUUAGCUAAACUGUUAAGCGCGAGAGAGUUAGGGGUAACUGGAAUUUCUAGUGUAGGGGUGAAAUGCGUAGAUAUUAGGAGGAACACCAAUGGCGUAGGCAGGUUACUGGGACGGUUCUGACGCUGAGGCACGAAAGCGUAGGGAGCAAACGGGAUUAGAUACCCCGGUAGUC